ACUUGUGAAAAUUUUAAUAUUUGCUUAUUUUGGGCUUAUUUGAAAUAUGCCGGGAAACUAAGGAUCUUGCUAUUGGCUUGCAUUUUUUCUGACCGCGGCCAGCGCAAUGUUUACUUCAAUA
Drosophila takahashii is the source of this 121-nucleotide non-coding RNA. NCBI's taxonomy places the organism in Eukaryota, Metazoa, Arthropoda, Insecta, Diptera, Drosophilidae. The record is from RefSeq and is a predicted model, not a curated record.